AGCAAGGUGUUCAGAAUGCAAGUGGUCUUUGAAAAACCAAACCAAGGUUCCUCCUCCACCCCUGCCUCAGCUCCACAGCUCCUAGAGGACCAGAAGCGCAAACACUACCUUCUUGUCUCUGGUGAACCCUGGUUUCCGUGGCCUCCAGACUCAGUAAGCUGGAAGGAACAAAGACUGAUUUAUUCUUCAUCAAGGUAAAGAUUUCUACUCAGUUUCAGGAACUGAGAAGGAAGAAUCAAAGACUUACCAACAGAAGAAUCUGAGAGAAGCGUGGCAACAAUGUAAAUGGCAGAAACACUUUUGGCUACAGAGGACAGAGACAGAAAAU
This is a long non-coding RNA of Erinaceus europaeus (western European hedgehog), 328 nucleotides long. RefSeq lists it as uncharacterized. NCBI's taxonomy places the organism in Eukaryota, Metazoa, Chordata, Mammalia, Eulipotyphla, Erinaceidae. The record is from RefSeq and is a predicted model, not a curated record. The transcript is spliced from 4 exons.